GACGAACGCUGGCGGCGUGCUUAACACAUGCAAGUCGAACGGAAAGGCCCUGCUUUUGUGGGGUGCUCGAGUGGCGAACGGGUGAGUAACACGUGAGUAACCUGCCCUUGACUUUGGGAUAACUUCAGGAAACUGGGGCUAAUACCGGAUAGGAGCUCCUGCUGCAUGGUGGGGGUUGGAAAGUUUCGGCGGUUGGGGAUGGACUCGCGGCUUAUCAGCUUGUUGGUGGGGUAGUGGCUUACCAAGGCUUUGACGGGUAGCCGGCCUGAGAGGGUGACCGGCCACAUUGGGACUGAGAUACGGCCCAGACUCCUACGGGAGGCAGCAGUGGGGAAUAUUGCACAAUGGGCGGAAGCCUGAUGCAGCAACGCCGCGUGCGGGAUGACGGCCUUCGGGUUGUAAACCGCUUUCGCCUGUGACGAAGCGUGAGUGACGGUAAUGGGUAAAGAAGCACCGGCUAACUACGUGCCAGCAGCCGCGGUGAUACGUAGGGUGCGAGCGUUGUCCGGAUUUAUUGGGCGUAAAGGGCUCGUAGGUGGUUGAUCGCGUCGGAAGUGUAAUCUUGGGGCUUAACCCUGAGCGUGCUUUCGAUACGGGUUGACUUGAGGAAGGUAGGGGAGAAUGGAAUUCCUGGUGGAGCGGUGGAAUGCGCAGAUAUCAGGAGGAACACCAGUGGCGAAGGCGGUUCUCUGGGCCUUUCCUGACGCUGAGGAGCGAAAGCGUGGGGAGCGAACAGGCUUAGAUACCCUGGUAGUCCACGCUGUAAACGGUGGGUACUAGGUGUGGGGUCCAUUCCACGGGUUCCGUGCCGUAGCUAACGCUUUAAGUACCCCGCCUGGGGAGUACGGCCGCAAGGCUAAAACUCAAAGGAAUUGACGGGGCCCCGCACAAGCGGCGGAGCAUGCGGAUUAAUUCGAUGCAACGCGUAGAACCUUACCUGGGUUUGACAUGGAUCGGGAGUGCUCAGAGAUGGGUGUGCCUCUUUUGGGGUCGGUUCACAGGUGGUGCAUGCCUGUCGUCAGCUCGUGUCGUGAGAUGUUGGGUUAAGUCCCGCAACGAGCGCAACCCUUGUUCACUGUUGCCAGCACGUUAUGGUGGGGACUCAGUGGAGACCGCCGGGGUCAACUCGGAGGAAGGUGGGGAUGACGUCAAGUCCUCAUGCCCCUUAUGUCCAGGGCUUCACGCAUGCUACAAUGGCUGGCACAGAGAGUGGCGAGCCUGUGAGGGUGAGCGAAUCUCGGAAAGCCGGUCUCAGUUCGGAUUGGGGUCUGCAACUCGACCUCAUGAAGUCGGAGUCGCUAGUAAUCGCAGAUCAGCAACGCUGCGGUGAAUACGUUCCCGGG
This 1343-nucleotide ribosomal RNA is filed under the name uncultured bacterium. RNAcentral's name for it is "16S ribosomal RNA". It matches the Rfam family "Bacterial small subunit ribosomal RNA", at positions 28 to 1378 of the family's 1533-position model. The record is from RNAcentral.